UUCCAAGCUAUAUCAUAAGAAUAAUAAGCAAGCUAAGGUACUGGUGUGAUAGGGGCUCUGAAAAAUACAGCGCUUUGGCAGUGGUGUCUCGGGGAACUGUUCCCGUACCGCUCCUUUGGAAUCUAAGACCAUUGUUAAACCAACAUUCAGCCGCAGGAAUCUCAACAUUAUAGAAUCUCCCCAAGAAAGGUGGCGUACUAUCCUGUGGCAUUGAAAAGACACAAGUGCUCAGAUCUCGGCCGCCAGAAAUUUCCGUCUCGCCUCACUCAGUGUUAUACCAAUAUCUUCUUAGUCUGCAGGUGGCCUCUAAGGCUUUCCCCACGUAUGAAGGCAAAAAGUGAAGGGGAAUAUUUUAACGAAAUAAUUUGCCCGUCAAGUGGCUCUGGAAUCGAGUUAUUAUUAAAGGGGAAUAUUUUAACGAAAUAAUUUGCCCGUCAAGUGGCUCUGGAAUCGAGUUAUUACCAAAAUCACUUUUAUGAUCCGAUUUGGCUUCUAUAGGAGAUACAAAUAUAUUGGUCAUGGUAAGGGAUAUACUAUUUCCUGAAAGAGCCGCCAGCUGUCGUUGGAGUUGUGUUAUUAGUUAAAAUCGUCAAGUGAGGAAAAGUACCGUGAAUGUCCGACUAUAUAGACGUGCUGAACCACUGAGUACGUCGAACUUCCUUGUGUUCCGAUUGGCCCAAUGGAUGUGAUUAUCCAAUAUCUCUAUGCGGUAAAGCUUCAUUCGGAGACAACAGGAUUUAGUUGUUUAGGGGUACAUAUCAAGUGGCCACCCUUAAAUCAACCACCAGAACCAAUGUGGUUCUUGUUGAGACAUUUAAGAACAACGAAACUCACCCAUUUUGAAUUUGUCACCAACUAUACCAUAACCAUAGAACCGGAUCAUUGUUGCCGCCAGAGACUGAAGAGAAAAUAGUUCUUCAAACCUAUUUCAUUGUGCGAUUAACCAUGCCAUGGAAUUUUAGAUCAUAAGAUAAUUUUAAGAAUUUCUUCACAGACAUAAUACGCUCGUUAAUGGAUUUAAGACGGUCAUGCCUUCUGAUGACCACGAAACCAUAAUCAUAAAUGUGCCACUGGAACAUAAAUAUGCAUUGAUAUUUCGAAGUGAAAAUUUUUGGUGCAUCCAUGUUUUUCCGACAUCUCUACACAGGCUUGCACCUACUCAGCUGAGACGGGCGCUGUUAUACAAAAUUUUGAGUGCUCUUGCACUUUUACAAUAAGAUCAAAUAUUUUUAAUUUAAACUGAAAUUAAUUAUUGUGUUGCUAAAUUUUUUAAAUGAAAAUCAAAUUUACAAUACUAUUUAUGUAUACGGUAGUAAUUAGAUAUUUAAUAGAAUUACGUAUCGGAAAUGCUUAUUUUUAACAAAAGUUUUCGAAGCGAAAAUAACUAUUGUCAAUUUAGGUGAUUGAUUCUAAUUACUUUAACACGUUUAAAUGAUGGAAUGAUGGAAGGAAAAAUAAAACAAAACGGAAAUAGGUAAUGGUUGAUCAUACAAGUUUGUUAGUAAAAGUCACACAAAUAUAUGUAAAUUGCGUUUCAAUUCCACACUUUUGGAUUACUAGCUAAUACCCGCGACUACGUCUGCGUACCCCAAAUGCAAUUUUUAUUAUUAUUCGUUUUCUUUUGAUCCUUUUAAUUUUUCACUGAUUUACUAAUAUGAGUAUGAAUUGUGAUGCUGGUAUCACAAAAAUUAUAAAAUAUAAAUUAUGUAUUUGGCAUUUAUGUAAAGCACAAACCGAAUUCCACUUAAUCGGCUGUUACGACAGAGAUGUCAAACUUUUUGAUAUAAUCUUAAAAUAUAGAACUUUGUAGCUAAGAUUGUAAAAAAAAAAUCUUUUUGUA
Molecule: long non-coding RNA, 1840 nt
Organism: Rhagoletis zephyria (snowberry fruit fly)
Lineage: Eukaryota; Metazoa; Arthropoda; Insecta; Diptera; Tephritidae
Source: RefSeq, a predicted model, not a curated record